Molecule: ribosomal RNA, 112 nt
Organism: Otolemur garnettii (small-eared galago)
Lineage: Eukaryota; Metazoa; Chordata; Mammalia; Primates; Galagidae
Source: Ensembl
GUCUGUAGCCAUACUACCCUGAAUGUCCCUAGUCUGACCUGAUCCUAAGGAGGAGUAGGCCUGGUUAGUACUUAUAUGGGAGACUACAUAGGAAUACUGGGUGCUAUAGGCC